UGAUUAUGUUUUGAUAUAUUCUUGUAAAAGAAAUCUAUUUUGAAUUUUAAACAUAUUUCUUUUAAAAUUGAUAACUAUCUAUUAUUCCGGGUCCGAUUAGAAAUUUCAGUUUGAGUAGUCAAAGAAAGAAGGCAAAUAGGUCUUUUCAGUAAUGGUAAUUUUUUAAUGCCUAUUCCCAAUCAUUUGCUUGAUUACUAAAAAGAAGGGUUAUUCCAGAUUCAACCACUAGAUUCAAUCCUACGUACAUGAUGAUAUCAGCUAGACUGUUUAAGGGGAUCGAUUAUUCAGACCUUCCAUGAAAAUUGUCCCUAAUAUCAAAAUACGAUUCUUAGUCUUCUAUAUGAAAAUUUGAUGUAUAUAAUGAGCCAAAUUCGGUCCAUUUAAUGCGAUUAGCGAUGACAACUAUUUUCAAGAGUAGAAAGGAUUAAUUGGGAGAAUUUUGACAAAUUUAUUUUAUUAUUCACAAUUUAUUAUGAUAAUUCUUCGCAUUAUCAUUUUUUUUAGUCUCUUAAAUUAAUAGUUCGUACCCGAUCCGUUGAAUUCCCAUUCUUCAAUGAUUGGUCAGUCUGUGAUGGGUCUAAAAGUAGCUGCCAUCAGAUACAGUAGGUUUUAUCUCAUAUGCGAUAUAUCGGUUUAAUUGCCUACUUAACCUAAAAUUAAUCAAUAGUUUUUUCAUAUAUAGUUUUACGUUGCUCUACAUCUGACUUGUGAGAUACUAAGCAGCAGAACAUGUCCUUGCCUCAUCAUGGGCAGCCCAUAUCCAGAUGGGAUCAACUAUCAGAUGGAUGGGGUUCAACUAUCUAGGCCCGGAUCCCUCCUGAAAAAUCUGAAAGUGUGGAAUCCAGAAAUUGAACUCGCAUCUUCCAGGGUGGAAAGAAGCAUGCUUCCACGCGGAGGAUGCGGAAGAGCGAUUUAUAAGAAUUUUAAAUGUACAACUAAGACAACAGGACAGAUUUUUUAAAAGAAUAAUUUGCAUAUUUUUAAUUUUAAUGGGAUUUUAUUUAUUUAAAUAAAUGUAAAAAUAAUACACCGAUUAAAUCCACCCGUCAUGCAUCGAUUAACCAAUAGAUUAGGUUAGGAUAGUUUCACUUAAGCCGCCAUAUCGCACAUCGGAUAUACUAUAUUAGUCGGGGCCACAUAUAUAUCCUAUUACAAGCUGACUAACAUCCAUAAUGGGAUCAACUGGAAGAUUGGAGAAUAGGAUUCAAUGAGCUGAGUCUGGACCCCUCUGAAAAAUUAGAAUUGUGGGAUUCGGAAUUGAACCCAGAAGAUGAUAAGUGACUGAUUUACAAUGUGGUAUCUGGUCGAUCGAAUGGCCAUAGUGGAAGUAUGCUGUCCUGGAAGAUACGGGUUCAAUUCCCGAGCUCCACACAUCCAGAUUUUUUUCAAGAGGGUCCGGGCCCGGUCCGUUGAACCCCAUCACUAUCUGAUGACUAACUCCACCAUAGAUGUGGGAGGUUCGUGGUGGCAAUUGGAAAACCCGCUGCUUAGUAUCUAUAAAGUGGAAAGUGGUGCAAAACUGCACAGAAAAAACUCUGUACACGGCCAACUAAUUAAUCGAUAGCAUUUUUAAAAUCAGUGUAUGAGAUUUUUCAUUCUAUUAAUGAUAAAAUUAUACAUACUUAUAUAAAAAUAUCGGUAGCCGUUUGAAAUAAAAUAUUGAGGCUUAUUUGAUAUAUUAUACAUGCUUUUUGAACCGAUAAUUGUAUAUAUUCAUUUUUUAUGCCACUUUUCAAUGGCGGUAAGAAAAUUCAAAAUCCACAAAAAGCUGUCUAUCCAUAUCUAUGAUGAAAUCAGUUUUAAGGUUAAGGAUCCGGUUCUUUUUUUGGUAACGAAGAAUGAGAUUUUUUGUUGAUGUCGCUACUUUCCACGUAGUAGAAUACUAAGUGACGGAACAAAACAAACCUUGUCACAGACUGCUCAUCUCUACAGAUUACGGAUUAUGAAGACCAGGGAUUGACGGGGUUGGACUCUGACUCAUAAAUAAAUUUUUCAAGCGGUGACCCAAGAAUCGAACCCGUGCCCUUCAUAGUGGAAAACCGAAGACCAGAGACCUGAAAAAGUCGUGCCAGGGAUUAAAUUUAAGAUUUUGUCAUAUAGAAUCUAGUACACUAUUUGAGUCAGCCAGAUGACAGCGUGGUAAAGUAUUGCACUUAUCAUCUUGGAAGUUUGUGUGUAAAUACUUUGGCUUUCCACUUAUGGGUUCUGAAAUCAAUGGUCCUAUACCUCAAAAAUUAAUAUAAUGGAUUUGGGCUGGCGUAUCGAUAUUUAUCUUUUAUAUUCCGGCUGAUCCCUGCACGAGUCGGCAGUCUGUAGGGACAUAUUCUCUCCACAAAAUGGCAUCGAAACAAAAAUACGGAUGAUCUAAAACUGAUAGAAAAAGAUCCUAUCCACAGAUGUAGGCAGUUUUUGGAAGGGUCUAAUUAGUCUAUCAUUUAGAAAAAACACUGAUUGGAGAAGGAGUUUUAUAUUUUAAAUAUCAGAUACACAUUACGAUCUAAAAAUAUUGUACUUUAAUUAUUAUAAUAUCGGUUUUAAUCGGCCAGUUCGCCACAUGAUUUUAAGCAUCAGCUUACUACUUGGAUAAUUCGCAUUCAGUUCCCACAUCUCUAAAAAAUUUUCGGAUGUCCAGUGAGAUUCAUUUAAACCGAUCUUUCAACUGACAGUCGACAUCACCAGGGAAUGCUCCUUGAUGUCGACUGGAAUGCUCUGCUACUUAAUAAGCACCGAUUGGAAAGCUUCAUAAAGCCACACACAAAGAAUAUACUUUCUAUAUUUUACUUUUUUGAAAUGCAUUUGUUAAUAACUCAUUAUUUCAAACAACCUUUUUUCUUCACUAUAAUACAGUAUGGUUAUUACGUAAUUUAAAAUAAAUACAGUCGAGCCCCGAUUUAACGAACCCGGAAUUAACAAAUUUCGCGAUUCAACGAAUUAUUUUCAUGGUCCCGACACGAAUUGGUUAAAAUUCACGGAUUUAACGAAUAAAGAACCUCGAUUUAACGAACGCUCAAG
This 3012-nucleotide long non-coding RNA is filed under the name Androctonus crassicauda. The record is from RNAcentral. Lineage: Eukaryota; Metazoa; Arthropoda; Arachnida; Scorpiones; Buthidae.